CGGAUCGGAGUCUGCAACCCGACUCCGUGAAGCUGGAUUCGCUAGUAAUCGCGCAUCAGCCAUGGCGCGGUGAAUACGUUCCCGGGCCUUGUACACACCGCCCGUCAAGCCAUGGGAGCCGGGAGCGCUUGAAGUGCGUCGCCGCGAGGCGCGCCCUAGAGCGAGACCGGUGACUGGGGCUAAGUCGUAACAAGGUAUC
Molecule: ribosomal RNA, 199 nt
Filed under: uncultured bacterium
Lineage: Bacteria
Description: partial 16S ribosomal RNA
Rfam family: Bacterial small subunit ribosomal RNA
Source: RNAcentral